ACCUGGGCAGUGAGCAGCUCAGAGUUCCCGGUCCCCUUCUGAUACCGGCCCUGCUCCCGGUCUCUGGGGACAACGCAACUGGCCUGAAGGAAACCUCGAGAAGGAAAGUCUGUUGCUGCCUUAUCCACCAUCUAGACGCAGUGCCCGACAGAGCCCCGCGCAGAGAAGGUGCUGGAAAGCCCGUUUCGCCUGCAUAAAUGCCUGUGAACAGUGUCUUUACAGAUGUAAUCAAGUCAAGAUGAGGAUGUAUUGGAGUAGGCUGGGCCCGAAAUCCAGUGACUGACAUCCUUAUGAAGAGAGACAUUUGGAGAUACACAGACACACUCAUGGGGAGGAAGGCCUUGUGAAGACAUAAGAGGCUGUUCCUUUCCU
Long non-coding RNA from Aethalodelphis obliquidens (Pacific white-sided dolphin), 372 nucleotides. RefSeq lists it as uncharacterized. The record is from RefSeq and is a predicted model, not a curated record. NCBI's taxonomy places the organism in Eukaryota, Metazoa, Chordata, Mammalia, Artiodactyla, Delphinidae. The transcript is spliced from 3 exons.